AUUCUUGGUCAUUUAGAGGAAGUAAAAGUCGUAACAAGGUUUCCGUAGGUGAACCUGCGGAAGGAUCAUUAGUGAUUGCCUUUAUAGGCUUAUAACUAUAUCCACUUACACCUGUGAACUGUUCUACUACUUGACUCAAGUCGAGUAUUUUUACAAACAAUGUGGAAUGAACGUCGUUUUAUUAUAACAGAAUAAAACUUUCAACAACGGAUCUCUUGGCUCUCGCAUCGAUGAAGAACGCAACGAAUUGCGAUAAGUAAUGUGAAUUGCAUAAUUCAGUGAAUCAUCGAAUCUUUGAACGCAGCUUGCGCUCUCUGGUAUUCCGGAGAGCAUGCCUGUUUCAAUGUCAUGAAAUCUCAACCACUAUGGUUUCCUAAUGGAUUGUAUUUGGGCGUCUGCGAUCUCUGAUCUCUCGCCUUAAAAGAGUUAGCAAGUUUGACAUUAAUGUCGGGUGUGAUAAGUUUCACUGGGUCCAUUGUGUUGGAACGUGCUUCUAAUCCUCCGCAAGGACAAUUACUUUGACUCUGGCCUGAAAUCACGUAGGACUACCCGCUGAACUUAAGCAUAUCAAUAAGCGGAGGA
Molecule: ribosomal RNA, 582 nt
Filed under: uncultured fungus
Lineage: Eukaryota; Fungi
Description: eukaryotic LSU rRNA
Rfam family: 5.8S ribosomal RNA (bases 196-349)
Source: RNAcentral